Molecule: ribosomal RNA, 727 nt
Filed under: Patescibacteria group bacterium
Lineage: Bacteria
Description: bacterial SSU rRNA
Rfam family: Bacterial small subunit ribosomal RNA
Source: RNAcentral
UAGAUACCCGUGUAGUCCACGCCGUAAACCAUGCCUGCUAGAUGCCAGAAUUUUUUGGUGUCGAAGCUAACGCGUUAAGCAGGCCGCCUGGGGAGUACGGUCGCAAGAUUAAAACUCAAAGGAAUUGGCGGGGACCCGCACAAGCGGUGGAGCAUGCUCUUCAAUUGGCUGAUAACCCAAGAACCUUACCAAGGCUUGACAUGCAUGAAGUAGUGAACCGAAAGGGGAACGACCGGUAUCCAGUCCGGAGCUUGCACAGGUGUUGCAUGGCUGUCGUCAGCUCGUACCGUGAGGCGUACCCUUAAGUGGGUUAACGAGCGCAACCCCUACUGCUAGUUGUAUCACUCUAGCGGAACUGCCGCGGCAACGCGGAGGAAGGUGGGGAUGACGUCAAGUCGGUAUUGCCCUUACGCCUUGGGCCAGAAGCAUGCUACAAUGGCCGGCACAAAGGGUUGCAAAGCCGCGAGGCCGAGCUAAUCCCAAAAAAACCGGUCCCAGUUCGGAUUGGAGUCUGCAAUUCGACUCCAUGAAGCCGGAAUCGCUAGUAAUCGUGGGUCAGCUAUACCACGGUGAAUACGUUCUCGGGUCUUGCACACACUGCCCGUCACGCCAGCAAAGCUGGGGCCACCCGAAGUCUCACAUUAGUGGGCUCACGGUGGAAUCAGUGAUGAGGGUGAAGUCGUAACAAGGUAGCCGUAGGGGAAUCUGCGGCUGGAUCACCUCCUUU